CCUACGGGAGGCAGCAGUGAGGAAUAUUGGUCAAUGGCCGGAAGGCUGAACCAGCCAUGCCGCGUGAAGGUCAGUGCCCUAUGGGCGUUAAACUUCUUUUGUGCGGGAGCAAUAAUGGUCACGUGUGGCCAGACGAGAGUACCGUACGAAUAAGCAUCGGCUUACUCCGUGCCAGCAGCCGCGGUAAUAAGGGGGAUGCAAGCGUUAUCCGGAUUUAUUGGGGUUAAAGGGUGCGUUGGCCGGGAGGUAAGUCAGCGGGGAAAUGCCCCCGCGCAACGGGGUGAAGUGCCAUUGAUACUGCCUUGCUGGAAUGCGGAUGCCGUAGGAGGAAUGUGUGGUGUAGCGGUGAAAUGCAUAGAUAUCACACAGAACUCCGAUUGCGAAGGCAGCUCACGAAUCCGCGAUUGACGCUGAUGCACGAAAGCGUGGGUAUCAAACAGGAUUAGAUACCCUGGUAGUC
This 460-nucleotide ribosomal RNA is filed under the name uncultured bacterium. Its description in RNAcentral is "partial 16S ribosomal RNA". It matches the Rfam family "Bacterial small subunit ribosomal RNA", at positions 338 to 795 of the family's 1533-position model. The record is from RNAcentral.